RNAcentral lists this ribosomal RNA (404 nucleotides) under uncultured bacterium. RNAcentral's name for it is "bacterial SSU rRNA". It matches the Rfam family "Bacterial small subunit ribosomal RNA", at positions 355 to 776 of the family's 1533-position model. The record is from RNAcentral.
UUAGGAAUUUUGGGCAAUGGGCGAAAGCCUGACCCAGCAACGCCGCGUGGGUGACGAAGGCCUUCGGGUUGUAAAGCCCUUUUCUGAGGGAAGAUGAUGACGGUACCUCAGGAAGAAGCACCGGCUAACUACGUGCCAGCAGCCGCGGUAAUACGUAGGGUGCAAGCGUUGCCCGGAUUUAUUGGGCGUAAAGGGCGCGCAGGCGGCCCGGCGCGUCCGCGGUGAAAGCUCCCGGCUCAACUGGGAGAGGUCCGCGGAAACGGUCGGGCUGGAGCAAGGUAGGGGGUCGUGGAAUUCCCGGUGUAGUGGUGGAAUGCGUAGAGAUCGGGAGGAACACCAGUGGCGAAGGCGGCGACCUGGACCUGUGCUGACGCUGAGGCGCGAAAGCGUGGGGAGCGAUCCGG